This is a non-coding RNA of Acanthosepion pharaonis, 109 nucleotides long. The record is from the annotation of a GenBank genome assembly. NCBI's taxonomy places the organism in Eukaryota, Metazoa, Mollusca, Cephalopoda, Sepiida, Sepiidae.
CAACCAUAUCACAUUAAAACACCAGUUCUUGUACGAUCACCAAAGUUAAGCAAUGUCAAGCUUGGUUAGUACAUAGAUGGGUAAUCAUUUGGGAAUAUCAGGUAUUGUA